AGUAGGGCGAAGCCAGAGGAAACUCUGGUGGAGGCUCGUAGCGGUGCUGACGUGCAAAUCGCUCGUCAAACUUGGGUAUAGGGGCGAAAGACUAAUCGAACCAUCUAGUAGCUGGUUUCCUCCGAAGUUUCUCUCAGGAUAGCAGGUUCAAAUUGGAUUGUCGUGUGUGGUAAAGCGAAUGAUUAGCAUACUCGGGGACGUUUAGUCUUCGGAUGAUUCUCAAACUUUAAAUGCGCACGGAUGUUGCCGCUUGGGUGGGCGGCAUCUCUAGAAACUUGAGCUUUGUGGGCCACUUUUGGUAAGCAGAACUGGCGAUACGGGAUGAACCGUAAGUGUGGUUAAGGCGUCAAAUUGUCCGCUUAUAGAUUCCAAAAAAGGUGUUGAUUCAUCGAGACAGCAGGACGGUGGCCAUGGAAGUCGGAAUCCGCUAAGGAGUGUGUAACAACUCACCUGCCGAAUGAAUUAGCCCUGAAAAUGGAUGACGCUAAAGCGGGCAGCCGACACCACGCCGUUUGGGGAAAAUGUGAACAAAAAAACUCAAAUGAGUAGGAGGAACGUGGCGGUCGUGGUGAAGCGUGCGUGCAAACGUGCGUGGAACGUCCGCUAGUGCAGAUCUUGGUGUUAGUAGCAAAUAUUCAAACGAGAACCUUGAAGGGCGAAGCGGGGAAGGGUUCCACGCGAACAUUGAUUGAGCGUGGGUAAGUCGUUCCUAAGCCGCGUGGCAAUAGCUAAUUACCGGCGAAAGGGAAGCAGGUUGAUAUUCCUGCACACGGAUGUGGAAGCGGUGACGCAUACUUGGGACGGUGAAGCUGGCGAUAGCUCUGGGCAGAGUUUUCUUUUCUGUUUAACUUGUCUGUGCUUGCAGUGUGGAAUCCGCUUGUCGGGAGAAACACGCGAGUCUGGGAAUAGCGCCGGGUUUUUUUCCGGCGUCCAGAACGCUAUCGUCGGACCUUGAAAAACUGUCUGCAGGCAUCAUUAUUGUAAUGUUGUCGAUAGUAAAAAUCCACGCCGUUACGUACCGAUAACCGCAUCAGGUCCCCAAGGUGAACAGCCUCUGCUCGAUAUGAAAAAUGCAGGUAAGGGAAGUCGGCAAAUUGGACCCGUAACUUUGGGAAAAGGGUUGGCUCUAGUGCUGCGUGGGAUACGCUGCAUCAGUGUGAUUUUUGGCGGGAAGUUGUACCUUCUGCUGGGAAAGCGUGUGCCUCCGGGUGGACGUGGACUCGGCGGGAGUCGACAGACUGCUGGGGAAAGCCUGGUG
RNAcentral lists this ribosomal RNA (1258 nucleotides) under Hemineura frondosa. RNAcentral describes it as "LSU rRNA". It matches the Rfam family "Eukaryotic large subunit ribosomal RNA", at positions 840 to 2066 of the family's 3401-position model. Lineage: Eukaryota; Rhodophyta; Florideophyceae; Ceramiales; Delesseriaceae. The record is from RNAcentral.